RNAcentral lists this ribosomal RNA (509 nucleotides) under uncultured Glomeromycotina. RNAcentral describes it as "SSU rRNA". It matches the Rfam family "Eukaryotic small subunit ribosomal RNA", at positions 569 to 1077 of the family's 1831-position model. The record is from RNAcentral. Lineage: Eukaryota; Fungi; Glomeromycota.
AGCAGCCGCGGUAAUUCCAGCUCCAAUAGCGUAUAUUAAAGUUGUUGCAGUUAAAAAGCUCGUAGUUGAAUUUCGGGGUUAGUAGGUUGGUCAUGCCUCUGGUAUGUACUGGUCUCACUGAUUCCUCCUUCCUGAUGAACCGUAAUGCCAUUAAUUUGGUGUUGCGGGGAAUUUGGACUGUUACUUUGAAAAAAUUAGAGUGUUUAAAGCAAGCUAACGCUUGAAUACAUUAGCAUGGAAUAAUGAAAUAGGACGUUCGAUCCUAUUUUGUUGGUUUCUAGGAUUGACGUAAUGAUUAAUAGGGAUAGUUGGGGGCAUUAGUAUUCAAUUGUCAGAGGUGAAAUUCUUGGGAUUUAUUGAAGACUAACUACUGCGAAAGCAUUUGCCAAGGGAUGUUUUCAUUAAUCAAGAACGAAAGUUAGGGGAUCGAAGACGAUCAGAUACCGUCGUAGUCUUAACCAUAAACUAUGCCGACUAGGGAUCGGAUGAUGUUAAUUUUUUAAUGACUC